UGAGGAAUAUUGGGCAAUGGGCGAAACCCUGAUCCAGCAAUGCCGCGUGAGUGAAGAAGGCCUUAGGGUUGUAAAGCUCUUUCGCCCGUGACGAUGAUGACGGUAACGGGAGAAGAAGCCCCGGCUAAUUCCGUGCCAGCAGCCGCGGUAAUACGGAAGGGGCUAGCGUUGUUCGGAUUUACUGGGCGUAAAGCGCAUGUAGGCGGCGGAUCAAGUGAGGCGUGAAAGGCCUGGGCUCAACCUGGGAACGGCGCUUCAGACUGGUUUGCUCGAGUUCGGGAGAGGGUGGUGGAAUUCCCAGUGUAGAGGUGAAAUUCGUAGAUAUUGGGAGGAACACCGGUGGCGAAGGCGGCCACCUGGCCCGAGACUGACGCUCAAGUGCGAAAGCGUGGGGAGCAAACAGG
Molecule: ribosomal RNA, 404 nt
Filed under: uncultured Defluviicoccus sp.
Lineage: Bacteria; Pseudomonadati; Pseudomonadota; Alphaproteobacteria; Rhodospirillales; Rhodospirillaceae
Description: bacterial SSU rRNA
Rfam family: Bacterial small subunit ribosomal RNA
Source: RNAcentral